RNAcentral lists this ribosomal RNA (1347 nucleotides) under uncultured bacterium. Its description in RNAcentral is "bacterial SSU rRNA". It matches the Rfam family "Bacterial small subunit ribosomal RNA", at positions 28 to 1381 of the family's 1533-position model. The record is from RNAcentral.
GACGAACGCUGGCGGCGUGCUUAACACAUGCAAGUCGAACGAUGAAGCCUAGCUUGCUAGGUGGAUUAGUGGCGAACGGGUGAGUAAUACGUGAGUAACCUACCUUUAACUCUGGGAUAAGCCUGGGAAACUGGGUCUAAUACCGGAUACGACCAAUCUCCGCAUGGGGUGUUGGUGGAAAGCGUUAUGUAGUGGUUAUAGAUGGGCUCACGGCCUAUCAGCUUGUUGGUGAGGUAACGGCUCACCAAGGCGACGACGGGUAGCCGGCCUGAGAGGGUGACCGGCCACACUGGGACUGAGACACGGCCCAGACUCCUACGGGAGGCAGCAGUGGGGAAUAUUGCACAAUGGGCGCAAGCCUGAUGCAGCGACGCCGCGUGAGGGAUGACGGCCUUCGGGUUGUAAACCUCUGUUAGCAGGGAAGAAGAGAGAUUGACGGUACCUGCAGAGAAAGCGCCGGCUAACUACGUGCAGCAGCCGCGGUAAUACGUAGGGCGCGAGCGUUGUCCGGAAUUAUUGGGCGUAAAGAGCUUGUAGGCGGUUUGUCGCGUCUGCUGUGAAAGGCCGGAGCUUAACUCCGUGUAUUGCAGUGGGUACGGGCAGACUAGAGUGCAGUAGGGGAGACUGGAAUUCCUGGUGUAGCGGUGGAAUGCGCAGAUAUCAGGAGGAACACCGAUGGCGAAGGCAGGUCUCUGGGCUGUAACUGACGCUGAGAAGCGAAAGCAUGGGGAGCGAACAGGAUUAGAUACCCUGGUAGUCCAUGCCGUAAACGUUGGGCACUAGGUGUGGGGAACAUUCCACGUUUUCCGCGCCGUAGCUAACGCAUUAAGUGCCCCGCCUGGGGAGUACGGCCGCAAGGCUAAAACUCAAAGAAAUUGACGGGGGCCCGCACAAGCGGCGGAGCAUGCGGAUUAAUUCGAUGCAACGCGAAGAACCUUACCAAGGCUUGACAUAUACUGGACCGCAUCAGAGAUGGUGUUUCCCUUCGGGGCUGGUAUACAGGUGGUGCAUGGUUGUCGUCAGCUCGUGUCGUGAGAUGUUGGGUUAAGUCCCGCAACGAGCGCAACCCUCGUUCUAUGUUGCCAGCACGUUAUGGUGGGGACUCAUAGGAGACUGCCGGGGUCAACUCGGAGGAAGGUGGGGAUGACGUCAAAUCAUCAUGCCCCUUAUGUCUUGGGCUUCACGCAUGCUACAAUGGCCGGUACAGAGGGUUGCGAUACUGUGAGGUGGAGCUAAUCCCUAAAAGCCGGUCUCAGUUCGGAUUGGGGUCUGCAACUCGACCCCAUGAAGUCGGAGUCGCUAGUAAUCGCAGAUCAGCAACGCUGCGGUGAAUACGUUCCCGGGCCU